This 478-nucleotide ribosomal RNA is filed under the name uncultured bacterium. Its description in RNAcentral is "partial 16S ribosomal RNA". It matches the Rfam family "Bacterial small subunit ribosomal RNA", at positions 28 to 523 of the family's 1533-position model. The record is from RNAcentral.
GACGAACGCUGGCGGCGUGCUUAACACAUGCAAGUCGAACGGUAAGGCCCUUCGGGGUACACGAGUGGCGAACGGGUGAGUAACACGUGGGUGAUCUGCCCUGCACUUCGGGAUAAGCCUGGGAAACUGGGUCUCAUACCGGAUAGGACUCCUGCAUGCAGGGGUGGUGGCGGAAAGCUUUUGCGGUGUGGGAUGGGCCCGCGGCCUAUCAGCUUGUUGGUGGUGUGAUGGCCUACCAAGGCGACGACGGGUAGCCGGCCUGAGAGGGUGCCCGGCCACACUGGGACUGAGAUACGGCCCAGACUCCUACGGGAGGCAGCAGUGGGGAAUAUUGCACAAUGGGCGCAAGCCUGAUGCAGCGACGCCGCGUGAGGGAUGACGGCCUUCGGGUUGUAAACCUCUUUCAGCACCGACGAAGCGCAAGUGACGGUAGGUGCAGAAGAAGGACCGGCCAACUACGUGCCAGCCGCCGCCGUAA